RNAcentral lists this long non-coding RNA (1834 nucleotides) under Homo sapiens (human). RNAcentral describes it as "PREDICTED lncRNA (TCONS_00276119)". The record is from RNAcentral. Lineage: Eukaryota; Metazoa; Chordata; Mammalia; Primates; Hominidae.
GGCGCCGGCUUCCGGCCCGGCGAGGUUUGAGCGCGUCCGCGGGCUGGGAGGCCGCUGGACCCGGGCGCAUGGCCUCCCCCGGGCAGUUAUCUCCUUGCCGCGACCUUGAGGUCUUCGACCGUGUGCUGUCCUGGAGCCAGUGAAACCAGACGAAAUUAAGGGAACAGCAGACGAAGGAACUGCCACCGUGCCCCAGACCCUGGUUUGCAAAUACAGUUCGACAAAGAUCUUGCCAGGAAUUGGCCUGGGAGAGUCCAAAGGACUGGGCUGGGGGUGGGGAAAUGAUUUUAGCCAGAAGACAAAUAUAGAGGUUGUACCCAGAAGGUUAAGAGGCUUAGGAAGGUUAAGAACUACGUUAACAUUUGGCUCCCAGGACCCCAGGUAAAGUGCCCUUGGAUUGAAUAGAUUUCUGAACUCCAGAAACAUUUAGAGGAAUCAAUAGAAUUAGAUUGGCAGCCAUUGUGCCAAUGGACAAGUGCUUACUGAGCCCCUUAAUCCCUUCACUGGGUAAGCAUUUGCCACACAUGUCCUCAAAAACCUACUUGUUAGCUUAAGUGGACUCCCUCAAGUUCAGAACAGGAGCAAAUAGUGUAAUCACAAGUUCCGUGUCUGAAUAAUCAUAACAAUGUUUAUAAAAAUAAGGACGACUGUUGAAAACUGCAACUGCAGCUGAACCUUAUGUGCCCAGACUUCAGAAUUCCCAUAGGCAAAAUGCCAGCAGGCCUUUGCACACUGAACACAUAGUGUUCAUAUCCUUCACUUUCCUUUCCUGCCCUCUCCUAUCUUCUCCAGAUCUGCCUGUGAAAGGACCCAAUUCUAGGACCCCCCAGGAUGGUUAGGCCCUUCCUCUGAAAGUACACUUUGCAAUUUGUUAGUCUCCUCAAGAACCCCAGCGAUCGAAACUGAUGCACACAAAUUGCAUGUGUUCAAAGGAGCAAUUUUGAAUCUAGCUUUGUUGAUCCUGGGAGAAAUCUUUGACCUGUGUUAGUGAAAGGCUAUGGUGUUUCUCAGCUGAUUAUAAUAGCGAGGUAGCUGAAUGCAAAAAAACAGUUUCAGAGAAUGGUAGAGUAUAUCCUCCAAAGGUGAUACUCGCUUCUCUAUUCUGGUGAGAGAAACAAGAGCUAAAGCAAAAUUCUACAGAGGGCUUUAUUUGGAGAGAGGUGGAUUUUAUUUAUAAUGCAUUUAAAAUUCAAAAUCUUUCUAGUUUGAACUCUUGACAUUCUGAUUAAUGCAUUUUUAUUCAACUGUUAAUUAUUCCUCGAUACACCUCGCCAUCACUUGUGUAUCCCUUUUCUACAUGUGACCUUUCCCUGGCCACAUCUGCUACUCUCUUUGAGCAUGAUGCCUCUACUGUAUUCUAUUCCAGAGCUCAUUGUUUUGUCAGUUUUUUUUCUCUCCACAAAAAAAGAUGAUCAAAUAAUUACAUAGAAUUUUUCCCUUCUCAGUCUUUGGGUAACUAAGUGUGGUUUUAUUGACGAUGAAAUACAAGAUGGGUCAUUUAAAAGCAACUUCUUGUCAUCACUUGGUAUUUUGCUAAAUCCACGGUGAGCUGGAGCUCCCGUAGUCACCUAUCACCGCGUGUAUUUUAAGGAGUCAGAUAUUCUCGAAACUGUUAAGAUCAUGAAAGACAAAGAGACUAAGGAACUGUCACAGAUUAAAGGAGACUAAAGAUACUUGACAACUGAAUGUAAUAUAUGACACUCAACCGGCUCCUGUACCAGAAAAAGGACAUUGGUUAUAUUGGUGAGGUUUGAAUAUCUGUAGAUUACCAAUACUAUUCUUGGUUAUGGUGGUUAUGUAAGAUUUAGAGAAGUUGAAUAAAGGAUAUAAGGAC